Molecule: ribosomal RNA, 882 nt
Filed under: uncultured soil bacterium
Lineage: Bacteria
Description: bacterial SSU rRNA
Rfam family: Bacterial small subunit ribosomal RNA
Source: RNAcentral
AGAGUUUGAUCCUGGCUCAGAGCGAACGCUGGCGGCGUGCUUAACACAUGCAAGUCGAGUGCGCGUCUGUAGCAAUACAGAUGGCGCACGGCGCACGGGUGCGUAACACGUGGGUAAUCUGCCCUUCGAUGGGGAAUAACUCCGGGAAACCGAAGCUAAUUCCGCAUAACAUUCCUUGAACCUCGGUUUAGGGAUUCAAAGCCGUAAGGCGUCGGAGGAGGAACCCGCGCACGAUUAGCUAGUUGGUAGGGUAACGGCCUACCAAGGCUUUGAUCGUUAGCUGGUCUGAGAGGAUGGCCAGCCACACUGGAACUGAGACACGGUCCAGACUCCUACGGGAGGCAGCAGUGGGGAAUCUUGCACAAUGGGCGAAAGCCUGAUGCAGCGACGCCGCGUGGGGGAUGAAGCUUUUCGGAGUGUAAACCCCUUUCGACCCGGACGAAUACCUCGCAAGAGGGGUGACGGUACGGGUAUAAGAAGCCCCGGCUAACUACGUGCCAGCAGCCGCGGUAAGACGUGGGGGGCCAGCGUUGCUCGGAAUUACUGGGUGUAAAGGGUUCGUAGGCGGUGUAGCAAGUCGGGAGUGAAAUCUCUGGGCUCAACCCAGAGACUGCUUCCGAAACUGCUGUGCUUGAGUGUGGGAGAGGCGCGUGGAAUUGCAGGUGUAGCGGUGAAAUGCGUAGAUAUCUGCAGGAACACCCGUGGCGAAAGCGGCGCGCUGGACCACUACUGACGCUGAGGAACGAAAGCUAGGGGAGCAAACAGGAUUAGAUACCCUGGUAGUCCUAGCCCUAAACGAUCAGGACUUGGGGUGCCGCACGUUCGUGCGUCGUCCCGGAGCUAACGCGUUAAGUCCUGCACCUGGGGGAGUACGGUCGCAAG